Callithrix jacchus (white-tufted-ear marmoset) is the source of this 1555-nucleotide non-coding RNA. NCBI's taxonomy places the organism in Eukaryota, Metazoa, Chordata, Mammalia, Primates, Cebidae. The record is from RefSeq and is a predicted model, not a curated record.
UUUUAAAGGGAUCCUUCUGGCUACUUUGCUGAAACAAUAAUCUGGGGGGCGGGAGGAAUGCCACCGCUUGGACCAGAGUGGUAGCAAUGGAGGUAGUUAGAAAUGGUUGGAUUCUGGAUAUAUUUUGAAUAUUGAAUUGACACUAUUUUGUGGAGGAUUGAUAUGAAAGAAUGGACUCAAGGAUGACUCAAGUUUUUGGCCAGAGCCAUAGAGGACCUCAGGGUUGGCAUUUCCUGGUUGUCCCGGGAUCCACCACGUCCCAGACUGACACCCAAAGACUCACUGAGGCCUGAGUGAGGAAGAGUGAGAGAGUGGGGAGCACAGCAGCGAAUGUUGCCUUCAAGACUGGGAAGAGGAGCAGUGUUAAGAAGAGGAGGCGAGAACGACCCCUGGACCGACCGAAGCCCACACGCCGCUGCAUCCCGCGACCAGCGCCUACGUCCCAUUGCCAUCGCCACCAUGCUCAAGAGAAAGGCUGAAGGGGAUGCUGAAGGAGAUAAAGCCAAGCUGAAGGACGAACCACAGAGAAGAUCCGUGAGGUUUUCUGCUAAACCUGCUCCUCCAAAGCCAGAGCCCAAGCCUAAAAAGGCCCCUGCAAAGAAGGGAGAGAAGGUACCCAAAGGGAAAAAGGGAAAAGCUGAUGCUGGCAGAAAGGGAAUAACCCUGCAGAAAACGGAGAUGCCAAAACAGACCAGGCACAGAAAGCCGAAGGUGCUGGAGAUGCCAAGUGAAGUGUGUGCAUUUUUGAUAACUGUGUACUUCUGGUGACUGUACAGUCUGAAAUACUAUUUUUUAUCAAGUUUUAUAAAAAUGCAGAAUUCUGUUUUACCUUCUUUUUUUUUUUUAAGCUAUGUUGUUAGCACACAGAACACUUCAUUGUUGUUUUGGGAGAAGGGGCAUAUGUCACUAACAGAAUGUCUCCAAAGCUGGAUUGAUGUGGGGAAACGACUUUCCCUUCUAGUUUUGAGAGACUUCCUCUUGGCUCCCAGGAGGAGGGAUUCCCUGACUUUGACACACAUGGCCACCUUGGCACACAAAAGCCUUGUGGUAUGGAAAAACAAAUUCGCUUUUAUGUCCUCUUCUCCCUUUCCGUCUUUCAGCAUAGACUUAACUCCCUUAAGCCCAGGCAUCUGUUGGGACCUGACCCCCAGUCAUUGGUUACCAGUGUGUCAGGCAAUCCGGUCUUGCCAGUGAUGCCACUGAGAUGGCACCUGUUAAAAGAGCAGUGAUUCCAUUUCUAGAUUGUGGAUCUUCAGAUAAAUUCUGCCAUUUUCAUUUCACUUCCUGAAAGUCAGGGUCGGCUCGUGAAAAGUUGUUAAACAACGUGCUAAAUGUGAAAUGUCAACCCUCACUCUAAACUUUCCCUGUUCAGAGCAUCAGAUGAAGACUUCAUUGGGUUUUAUAGUGGCUUUCUGAUUUUUGGUAGUCCAUCAAAGAAGGGAGUUUGAAAGUUGUUGUAUACUGUUAAUGAUUGUCUGCCCAUGUCCUGCCUGAAAUACCAUGAUUGUUUAUGGAAAGUAUCUUUAAUAAAGCUGGAUACAGUUUGGCUUGGAAA